CCUACGGAGGGCUGCAGUGGGGAAUAUUGGACAAUAGGGGGAACCCUGAUCCAGCCAUGCCGCGUGUGUGAAGAAGGCCCUCGGGUUGUAAAGCACUUUCAGUGAGGAAGAACGCCUGGUGGUUAAUACCCAUCAGGAAAGACAUCACUCACAGAAGAAGCACCGGCUAACUCCGUGCCAGCAGCCGCGGUAAUACGGAGGGUGCGAGCGUUAAUCGGAAUUACUGGGCGUAAAGCGCGCGUAGGUGGCUUGAUAAGCCGGUUGUGAAAGCCCCGGGCUCAACCUGGGAACGGCAUCCGGAACUGUCAAGCUAGAGUGCAGGAGAGGAAGGUAGAAUUCCCGGUGUAGCGGUGAAAUGCGUAGAGAUCGGGAGGAAUACCAGUGGCGAAGGCGGCCUUCUGGACUGACACUGACACUGAGGUGCGAAAGCGUGGGUAGCAAACAGGAUUAGAUACCCUGGUAGUC
This 465-nucleotide ribosomal RNA is filed under the name Vreelandella stevensii. RNAcentral's name for it is "partial 16S ribosomal RNA". It matches the Rfam family "Bacterial small subunit ribosomal RNA", at positions 338 to 795 of the family's 1533-position model. Lineage: Bacteria; Pseudomonadati; Pseudomonadota; Gammaproteobacteria; Oceanospirillales; Halomonadaceae. The record is from RNAcentral.